UAGGGAAUUUUCGUUCAAUGGGCGCAAGCCUGAACGAGCAAUGCCGCGUGAACGAGGAAGGUCUUCGGAUCGUAAAGUUCUGUUGAGAGGGAAAAAGGGUCACCAGAGGAAAUGCUGGUGAAGUGAUAUUACCUUUCGGACGG
This 143-nucleotide ribosomal RNA is filed under the name uncultured bacterium. RNAcentral's name for it is "partial 16S ribosomal RNA". It matches the Rfam family "Bacterial small subunit ribosomal RNA", at positions 355 to 491 of the family's 1533-position model. The record is from RNAcentral.